UCCCUGGUGGUCCAGUGGUUAAGACUCCGUGCUUCCACUGCAAGGGCCCAGGUUCAAUUCCUGGUCAGGGAA
Molecule: non-coding RNA, 72 nt
Organism: Globicephala melas (long-finned pilot whale)
Lineage: Eukaryota; Metazoa; Chordata; Mammalia; Artiodactyla; Delphinidae
Source: the annotation of a RefSeq genome assembly